CCUCUCUCUGUCACCCUAACGAAGCAUGGGCCGCUGCGUCGCUCACGCUGGCUCGACAGGUGUGCGGCUGCUGCUCGCGCCGGCAGUGACUGAAGACUCUCGGCUCGCUGCGGGCCCCGUAUCUUUCCUCAGACUCAGCAUGCGAACUGCUCUUUUUUUAUGGUCCAUGUGUCAUACUCUCCUCUAAACAAGGUACUUCAUGAUUAGACUACGGUGAAUAAGAUUGAAGUCGAAAAUAAAACAGAGUCCCGGCGGAACCGAUCGUCGUCCUCUUUAACUUCGGCAGGUGCUGAGGCAGAAGACUGAUUUUAAAAAUGAGAAGAAAAAUCUGAUAUUUACAGCACUUGCGUCUGGCGAUCUGAGAAAUAUGCUGGAUGGCCCUGGUUUAAAUUCAAUUCUUCAACACAAGCCGUUUAUUAAGGAGCGAGGGCAGGCUGAGAGUGGAGACUGAGGCGGGGUGAGAUGAUAAAGCAAAUUAAUGUCCUCCUUUCGCCGCUAAACGCACACACACGCGCGCACGCACAUAGCGAUGCUAUUUAGCGAGCUUGGGGGGAGAGUCAGUGGUU
Long non-coding RNA from Onychostoma macrolepis, 566 nucleotides. RefSeq lists it as uncharacterized. NCBI's taxonomy places the organism in Eukaryota, Metazoa, Chordata, Actinopteri, Cypriniformes, Cyprinidae. The record is from RefSeq and is a predicted model, not a curated record. The transcript is spliced from 4 exons.